RNAcentral lists this unclassified non-coding RNA (425 nucleotides) under soil metagenome. RNAcentral describes it as "partial contains 5.8S ribosomal RNA, internal transcribed spacer 2, and large subunit ribosomal RNA". The stretch from base 1 to 120 matches the Rfam family "5.8S ribosomal RNA", at positions 35 to 154 of the family's 154-position model. The record is from RNAcentral.
GAUGAAGAACGCAGCGAAAUGCGAUAAGUAGUGUGAAUUGCAGAAUUCCGUGAAUCAUCGAAUCUUUGAACGCACAUUGCGCCUUCUGGUAUUCCGGAAGGCAUGCCUGUUCGAGAGUCAUUAACAACCGUUUCGAUCCCUUUCUUUCAGAAAUUACAAAGAGGAAAAGGGUGUGGUUAUGGUGGAGGAGGGAAAGGGAGCGUUUAGCCUGUAAAAAAAGAGGCUGUGUUCCGCCUCCCCCCCAAAAUUGUACAGGCGGUCGUGUGCGCCCACGCAUCGAGGUGUUGUAAAAGCUGCCACGGCACUUUUCACCUGUGCAGUGCGAGAUUGGCCAGCCGGUUUAAAAACCCCUCCAAACAAUCAAAGGUUGACCUCGGAUCAGGUAGGGAUACCCGCUGAACUUAAGCAUAUCAAUAAGCGGAGGA